UGUCGCGUUGUUCGUGAAAUCUCACGGCUUAACUGUGAGCGUGCGGGCGAUACGGGCAGACUUGAGUACUGCAGGGGAGACUGGAAUUCCUGGUGUAGCGGUGGAAUGCGCAGAUAUCAGGAGGAACACCGGUGGCGAAGGCGGGUCUCUGGGCAGUAACUGACGCUGAGGAGCGAAAGCGUGGGGAGCGAACAGGAUUAGAUACCCUGGUAGUCCACGCCGUAAACGGUGGGUACUAGGUGUGGGUUUCCUUCCUUGGGAUCCGUGCCGUAGCUAACGCAUUAAGUACCCCGCCUGGGGAGUACGGCCGCAAGGCUAAAACUCAAAGAAAUUGACGGGGGCCCGCACAAGCGGCGGAGCAUGUGGAUUAAUUCGAUGCAACGCGAAGAACCUUACCUGGGUUUGACAUGCACAGGACGCCGGCAGAGAUGUCGGUUCCCUUGUGGCCUGUGUGCAGGUGGUGCAUGGCUGUCGUCAGCUCGUGUCGUGAGAUGUUGGGUUAAGUCCCGCAACGAGCGCAACCCUUGUCUCAUGUUGCCAGCGGGUAAUGCCGGGGACUCGUGAGAGACUGCCGGGGUCAACUCGGAGGAAGGUGGGGAUGACGUCAAGUCCUCAUGGCCCUUAUGGGUAGGGCUUCACACGUCAUACAAUGGUCGGUACAGAGGGUUGCCAAGCAGCGAUGCGGAGCCAAUCCCAGAAAGCCGAUCGUAGUCCGGAUCGGAGUCUGCAACUCGACUCCGUGAAGUCGGAAUCGCU
Molecule: ribosomal RNA, 756 nt
Filed under: uncultured Mycobacterium sp.
Lineage: Bacteria; Bacillati; Actinomycetota; Actinomycetes; Mycobacteriales; Mycobacteriaceae
Description: bacterial SSU rRNA
Rfam family: Bacterial small subunit ribosomal RNA
Source: RNAcentral